UGUGUUCUUGAAACUUAAAGAAUUUGGCGGUAUCCUACUCCGUUCAGAGGAAUCUGUCUCGUUAUCGAUAGUCCGCGUUGGACCUUGCUUAGGGUUAAUUUUGGUUUGUAUACCGCCGUUUAUUGAUUAUCUUUUUAGAGUAUCUUGAAUUUUCUGGUUUCUUUAAUUUGAUUUAUUGCAGGUCAAGGUGCAGCUUUUUCUAAGUGUAAUGAUGGAUUACAGUGGUAUGUGUUGUUUGGAUUGUUUGUUUAAAUAUGGGCAUGAAAUUGGAUUUGGUUGUAAUGUUUUGUAGAUUGUUUUCAUGAUAGUUGGUUCUAGGAUAUGUACACAUCGCCCGUCGCUCUCAUUUAAGUUUUUGAUGAGAUAAGUCGUAAACAUAGUAA
RNAcentral lists this ribosomal RNA (383 nucleotides) under Odontotermes gurdaspurensis. Its description in RNAcentral is "partial 12S ribosomal RNA". Lineage: Eukaryota; Metazoa; Arthropoda; Insecta; Blattodea; Termitidae. The record is from RNAcentral.